UCUAGACUUAACAAUUCCUCCAGUGUGAGGCUAUUGACUUAUUUUUAUGCCCCAAUCUUCAUGCAGGGGCGUAGCAAGCAACUUUAAAGUGGUCAGGCCAACUUGCAAUUAAAGGUCAGCUGCUUUUCUACUAUUGGAACUUUUAUACAGUGGUGAAUUUUUUACCUAAGAAAAAGGUCAUCCCUUUUCCUCACCAAAAUAGCAUGCGCAUUAUCACUUACAAUAUUUACGACCAUUACCUACCCAGCUGCAAAAAGUGGUUAGACCAAAACCUGACCAGCCUGACCGCUUGCUACGGCUUUGAUCUUAUGUGCAACGUUAUGCUAUAAUUAUGUGAACAUUAUUUCUUACUCGUCCAGGUUCAGGUUCAGAAAUGUUGUGUUUGAGAUCACGUCAGGCAGAUGGAGAAGGUGGAGCUGGUCCUCCAGGACCUCCUUCAGCUGCAAUACGAGGGCCUGGCAAUCAUGAAGAUGUUUGGAAGGGCCAAAGUGAAUGUUAAUCUGCUCAUCUUCCUCAUGAACUUUUAAAAUCCUCAGAGUGUUAAAUUGGAUUGCCAUUAACAAAUUGCAUGUA
Molecule: long non-coding RNA, 573 nt
Organism: Halichondria panicea
Lineage: Eukaryota; Metazoa; Porifera; Demospongiae; Suberitida; Halichondriidae
Exons: 2
Source: RefSeq, a predicted model, not a curated record